GCUGUCGUGAAAGGGAAACACAUCUGGCGCGCUUGUGGAGCGCUUUUUUCUCGAAAGAUGCGGUGCGUGUGUUCAGUGUUCGUCUGUGGUAACUGUGUUCCACGAAAAGGAUGGCUGUUUCCUGCAAAGUUUCGCAGAAACGGUCCUUACACAGUGCAUCGAGAUGCAGGCCUGGGAUGAAUUUGCGGAGAGGAUGUAACUGUGAGCCAUAAUGGACCUUGAAGUAGAUGUCAGGUUGCGACAACGGUCGGUGAUGGAGUUCCUCUUCAAGACCGGCGAUGACUCUGCCACAUAGAUUCACAGGAAGUUGCUCCUUGUUUAUGGGGGAGCACACAGGGGAUCGCAGCAGUAUCCAGUGAUGAUUGCAAGACUUUCACGAAGA
Schistocerca serialis cubense is the source of this 382-nucleotide long non-coding RNA. RefSeq lists it as uncharacterized. NCBI's taxonomy places the organism in Eukaryota, Metazoa, Arthropoda, Insecta, Orthoptera, Acrididae. The transcript has 3 exons. The record is from RefSeq and is a predicted model, not a curated record.